AUGAAGGCAUGUGAUGCAGCCAAUACAUCUGACCCGUUAAAAGUCACGUGACUUCUAGAAAUUUGGAAAAGAUGAAUCGAAGAGCGAUCGCGGUGUCCACCGUUUGGGAAAACCGUCAAUUGGUUGAGCGACGACGUUACAGCUUCCAUUCGUGUCAGUAGCCAGUCACUUCCGUGCGUGCUUUGAACUGCAGAGACGACAACAGCGCCGGAGAUGAUGGACGCCUCUGUUUACCACUGUAAGCAUUCGAUACCAGCGUCUCACGGAUAAUCAAAUAUUUCCUGAAUAUGUUUCCUGAUCAUUUCC
Molecule: long non-coding RNA, 306 nt
Organism: Diprion similis
Lineage: Eukaryota; Metazoa; Arthropoda; Insecta; Hymenoptera; Diprionidae
Exons: 3
Source: RefSeq, a predicted model, not a curated record